CCUACGGGAGACAGCAGUGAGGAAUAUUGGUCAAUGGGAGAGAUCCUGAACCAGCCAAGCCGCGUGAGGGAAGACGGCCCUAUGGGUUGUAAACCUCUUUUGUCGGAGAACAAAACCCGGGACGAGUCCCGGACUGCGUGUAUCCGAAGAAAAAGCAUAGGCUAACUCCGUGCCAGCAGCCGCGGUAAUACGGAGGAUGCGAGCGUUAUCCGGAUUUAUUGGGUUUAAAGGGUGCGUAGGCGGUCUGUUAAGUCAGCGGUAAACUUGCGGGGCUCAACCCCGUCGAGCCGUUGAAACUGGCAGACUUGAGUUGGCGAGAAGUACGCGGAAUGCGCGGUGUAGCGGUGAAAUGCAUAGAUAUCGCGCAGAACUCCGAUUGCGAAGGCAGCGUACCGGCGCCAGACUGACGCUGAGGCACGAAAGCGUGGGGAUCGAACAGGAUUAGAUACCCGAGUAGUC
This 459-nucleotide ribosomal RNA is filed under the name uncultured bacterium. RNAcentral describes it as "partial 16S ribosomal RNA". It matches the Rfam family "Bacterial small subunit ribosomal RNA", at positions 338 to 795 of the family's 1533-position model. The record is from RNAcentral.